Molecule: ribosomal RNA, 630 nt
Filed under: uncultured bacterium
Lineage: Bacteria
Description: bacterial SSU rRNA
Rfam family: Bacterial small subunit ribosomal RNA
Source: RNAcentral
UAGCUAGUUGGUGGGGUAAAGGCCUACCAAGGCGACGAUCUGUAGCGGGUCUGAGAGGAUGAUCCGCCACACUGGGACUGAGACACGGCCCAGACUCCUACGGGAGGCAGCAGUGGGGAAUAUUGGACAAUGGGCGAAAGCCUGAUCCAGCCAUGCCGCGUGUGUGAAGAAGGCCUUUUGGUUGUAAAGCACUUUAAGCGAGGAGGAGGCUACUUGGAUUAAUACUCUAGGAUAGUGGACGUUACUCGCAGAAUAAGCACCGGCUAACUCUGUGCCAGCAGCCGCGGUAAUACAGAGGGUGCGAGCGUUAAUCGGAUUUACUGGGCGUAAAGCGUGCGUAGGCGGCUUUUUAAGUCGGAUGUGAAAUCCCUGAGCUUAACUUAGGAAUUGCAUUCGAUACUGGGAAGCUAGAGUAUGGGAGAGGAUGGUAGAAUUCCAGGUGUAGCGGUGAAAUGCGUAGAGAUCUGGAGGAAUACCGAUGGCGAAGGCAGCCAUCUGGCCUAAUACUGACGCUGAGGUACGAAAGCAUGGGGAGCAAACAGGAUUAGAUACCCUGGUAGUCCAUGCCGUAAACGAUGUCUACUAGCCGUUGGGGCCUUUGAGGCUUUAGUGGCGCAGCUAACGCGAUAA